GGAGAUAUGACAGAGUGGUUUAAUGUAUUCUCGUGCUAAGAGAAAGUGUUUUUGCACCACAGGUUCGAAUCCUGUUAUCUCUU
This 83-nucleotide transfer RNA is filed under the name Candidatus Vidania fulgoroideorum. Its description in RNAcentral is "tRNA-Ser". It matches the Rfam family "tRNA". Rfam says of the family: Transfer RNA (tRNA) molecules are approximately 80 nucleotides in length. Their secondary structure includes four short double-helical elements and three loops (D, anti-codon, and T loops). Further hydrogen bonds mediate the characteristic L-shaped molecular structure. tRNAs have two regions of fundamental functional importance: the anti-codon, which is responsible for specific mRNA codon recognition, and the 3' end, to which the tRNAs corresponding amino acid is attached (by aminoacyl-tRNA synthetases). tRNAs cope with the degeneracy of the genetic code in two manners: having more than one tRNA (with a specific anti-codon) for a particular amino acid; and 'wobble' base-pairing, i.e. permitting non-standard base-pairing at the 3rd anti-codon position. Lineage: Bacteria; Pseudomonadati; Pseudomonadota; Betaproteobacteria. The record is from RNAcentral.